UACGGGGGGGGCUAGCGUUGUUCGGAAUUACUGGGCGUAAAGGGCGCGUAGGCGGCCUACUAAGUCGGACGUGAAAUCCCUCGGCUCAACCGGGGAACUGCGUCCGAUACUGGUGGGCUCGAAUCCGGGAGAGGGAUGUGGAAUUCCAGGUGUAGCGGUGAAAUGCGUAGAUAUCUGGAGGAACACCGGUGGCGAAGGCGACAUCCUGGACCGGUAUUGACGCUGAGGCGCGAAAGCCAGGGGAGCAAACGGG
This 253-nucleotide ribosomal RNA is filed under the name uncultured bacterium. Its description in RNAcentral is "partial 16S ribosomal RNA". It matches the Rfam family "Bacterial small subunit ribosomal RNA", at positions 524 to 776 of the family's 1533-position model. The record is from RNAcentral.